GUUUAAGGUGGAAUCAAGACCACUCAGCUACUCAUUAGCACAGAACGCUUGAUGGACAGUAAGAUCAUGAGUCUGAGAUGGAAGAAGAGGAAUGAGGAGCAUAUUUGAUUUUGAAGCCUGCAGAUUGCCUUCUCUAUCACCCUCUGACUGAUUUUUGGAUGCCAGGAUAAAAAGCAAGUCAAUUGCAAAGUGAAAUUCCAAAUCUUGCAAAAAGAUCCAGAAAAACCACACAAAAGAAUUGUAUAGCUCUGAAUUAUUAUAAGCCAGAUACUGUUUUAACUACCGCCUGCGCCAAAAUAUAAAGUUAUGACAACCACUCCAGAAGCCUCUCCAGGUGACCUGUCCCACACACCUGCCCCUCUCUCCAAAGGUUUAUCCUCCAUUCUUGUCUCUGCCUUACAGUUUGUUGAAGAAGCUAAGCUAUUUCACUAAAGUGUCUUGCAGCCUGGACUUUUUUGAUUGCAUCCUCAUGGUGAAGUUCAACAUGUUUAUCCUCCAUAUUUCCUGAACAUUGGCAGCUGGAUCCAGGAGCUUGGUCAGACUCAGAUUUAGUUCAGUGGACCCAUUAUAUCUGACUGUAUUUCUAAUUUUUAGCAGACCUUGACACUAAUUGCCUCAAAUCAUUUGUUGUGGGUCACAAAAACGCUGAUGCUCUAUCAUUUGGUUUUCAAUUAUUAGCUAAAGUAUUCUUAUGGAGAUGCUGCUUUCACCUAUUGAGUUACCCAGUACCAUGAUUCAGAGAGAAACGACUGAUAAAUUUUUUGAUUUGU
Cervus elaphus (red deer) is the source of this 770-nucleotide long non-coding RNA. RefSeq lists it as uncharacterized. The record is from RefSeq and is a predicted model, not a curated record. The transcript is spliced from 4 exons. NCBI's taxonomy places the organism in Eukaryota, Metazoa, Chordata, Mammalia, Artiodactyla, Cervidae.